GAUGAACGCUGGCGGCGUGCCUAAUACAUGCAAGUCGAGCGAACAGACGAGGAGCUUGCUCCUCUCACGUUAGCGGCGCACGGGUGAGUAACACGUGUAUAACGCACCUAUAAGACUGGGAUAACUACGGGAAACCGGAGCAUAUACCGGAUAAUAUAUUGAACCGCGUGGUGCAAUGGUGAAAGACGGUGUUUCUGUCUCGUAUAGAGGGAUCCGCGCCGCAUUAGCUAGUUGGUAAGUUAACGGCUUACCAAGGCGACGAUGCGUAGACGACCUGAGAGGGUGAUAGCCCACCCUGGAAGUGAGCCGGGGACCAGACGACUGCGGGACGCACCAGACGCGAACGUUACGCAGUAGGGGAGAACAUGACGGAGCGACGGCGAGUCAGUGGUGACAGUCCUCCGAUCGUAAAAAUCUGUUAUUAGGGAUGAACCGCUGUCUCAUUAGCUGUACCCGUCUUGACGGUACCUAGUAAAAAAGCCACGGCUAACUACGUG
Molecule: ribosomal RNA, 497 nt
Filed under: uncultured bacterium
Lineage: Bacteria
Description: partial 16S ribosomal RNA
Rfam family: Bacterial small subunit ribosomal RNA
Source: RNAcentral